RNAcentral lists this non-coding RNA (23 nucleotides) under Arabidopsis thaliana (thale cress). Lineage: Eukaryota; Viridiplantae; Streptophyta; Magnoliopsida; Brassicales; Brassicaceae. The record is from RNAcentral.
AACAAUAGUAAAUUGAGAUGCCA